GUGGGGAAUCUUGCGCAAUGGGCGAAAGCCUGACGCAGCCAUGCCGCGUGAAUGAUGAAGGUCUUAGGAUUGUAAAAUUCUUUCACCGGGGACGAUAAUGACGGUACCCGGAGAAGAAGCCCCGGCUAACUUCGUGCCAGCAGCCGCGGUAAUACGAAGGGGGCUAGCGUUGCUCGGAAUUACUGGGCGUAAAGGGAGCGUAGGCGGACAGUUUAGUCAGAGGUGAAAGCCCAGGGCACAACCUUGGAAUUGACUUUGAUACUGGCUGUCUUGAGUACGGGAGAGGUGAGUGGAACUCCGAGUGUAGAGGUGAAAUUCGUAGAUAGUCGGAAGAACACCAGUGGCGAAGGCGACUAACUGGCCCGUUACUGACGCUGAGGCGCGAAAGCGUGGGGAGCAAACAGGAUUAGAAACCCGAGUAGUCC
This 425-nucleotide ribosomal RNA is filed under the name uncultured bacterium. Its description in RNAcentral is "partial 16S ribosomal RNA". It matches the Rfam family "Bacterial small subunit ribosomal RNA", at positions 354 to 796 of the family's 1533-position model. The record is from RNAcentral.